UACGUAGGUCCCGAGCGUUGUCCGGAUUUACUGGGCGUAAAGGGAGCGUAGGCGGACUUUUAAGUGAGAUGUGAAAUACUCGGGCUCAACUUGAGUGCUGCAUUUCAAACUGGAAGUCUAGAGUGCAGGAGAGGAGAAUGGAAUUCCUAGUGUAGCGGUGAAAUGCGUAGAGAUUAGGAAGAACACCAGUGGCGAAGGCGAUUCUCUGGACUGUGACUGACGCUGAGGCUCGAAAGCGUGGGGAGCAAACAGG
This 253-nucleotide ribosomal RNA is filed under the name uncultured bacterium. RNAcentral describes it as "partial 16S ribosomal RNA". It matches the Rfam family "Bacterial small subunit ribosomal RNA", at positions 524 to 776 of the family's 1533-position model. The record is from RNAcentral.